CUAAACUCCCGUCUCGAUAAACGAAACACGCGAGCGGGUAUCUGCAAAACUACCUCUUGUUUCAAUUUAGGGUUUCGAGACGGGAGAAGAGCAGCGGCGUCUCGCUCUCUCUCUCGCUCUCUGCCUCGAGCAGGUCGGGCGAAGGCUUCGGACCAGAGGACGCAACGCAUCUCUUUAAAGCCCUAAACGAGGGAUGACUCUUGGAAUCCGAUGUGGGUUUUUCUUUGCCGAUGGUCGACGCCGAGGUAUUAUCGGCCCCUCGCCGUGUGGUGUGAAGCGAUUGUGGAUGUGUUGCUGCUGGUCAGAUUAGAUUUAACUUUGGAGAUUUGCGGUACUUCUCGAUGAUCGUUCUGCCCACCGGCUUAGUUGAGACAGAGGCGAACGUUGGUGGGGGCGAUGCUGCCAUGAGUAGUUCGUCCGAGUCUUGAGCCUGAUCGGAUCUUCAAACUCGAGAAACAUAACAGAUUUAGCAUCAUGAAAUACGGCUAUGAAUCUUGAAACAUCUAGUCAGAAAAUGGUGACUUGCUAUCUUGCAUUUGAAAAGAAUGCCCUUCUUUGCACUCGAAUUGUUCAAUCUUUUUGGUAUGUCCAUCAAAUUGUCUUCUUGCCGUGCAGGAUUACGGUGUUGUGUUUCCUCGCCAACCUUCUUUUCGUCUACAUCAAACUCAAGGAAAUGGGCAGUCGGGUUAUAUGCUAAAUGUUUUGUUCCAACCGACGAUAUUUCUUGGGCAACAUUCUGUAUCCAUAUACAUGGAAAAUUCUUGGAAAGAUAUUAGUGCUUGAAGUCAGGGUCAAGCUUUUUGAGAAGUAUUUGAACUAAUGAGCUAUACGACUGAUGUAGCACGCAAGUGCAUCAAUUUUGUCAGCAGUGAAGAAAUGGAAGCUGUCACAAGUUGAGCCCUUUAACCCCUUAAA
Musa acuminata AAA Group (dessert banana) is the source of this 915-nucleotide long non-coding RNA. RefSeq lists it as uncharacterized. The transcript is spliced from 4 exons. The record is from RefSeq and is a predicted model, not a curated record. Lineage: Eukaryota; Viridiplantae; Streptophyta; Magnoliopsida; Zingiberales; Musaceae.